GGUAGGCUAUACUUCAAAAAGGCCCGACCGACACACAAAUUAAAUGAGAAGAAUCAGCAUCCAUAAGAGAUCUGCUCUUCAGUUUUUUCUGAGUGAGAAAACAUAACGCAGCGUGAGGAGGUUACUGCAGGAAGUCAAAAGUGUAUCUGAGUUUUCAAUCUUCAGUCCCUGUAGAGGUCACUGUUGCUUGGCACAGCUGAAAAACAACUGAAGCUCCAAAGGAAGGAAAUGAUUACAGGCUGUAAUUAAGGGUGCGGCUUUGUUACAGCUCUAAAACCAGAGAUAUUAAUUUGCUCUCUACUCCACAUUUGUUUGUGCCAUUUAAUUCUGAAAUCCACACACACUCGGUGCGGAAAACAUGUCUGAAUCAACUCUAAAUCAUAUUUAUCGCUAGGAACACACGUCCAGAUGGCAGACUCUUAACUGAGCUUGGAUUAAUGGGAGGACGGGCAAGAACUGCAUCAAACUCCUCUUAAGGACCUUUGAAGAACAACAUUGCUAAUCGCUCAUAAGGACGCUGUAGAACAUGUUUGUUGGGUAAAAAUAAACAAAUUAUACUUUGUUUGGAAACACAUUUCCAGCUUCAGCUGGCAUUUCUGAUAGAUAUCCAUAGACUAAUAUGUAUGUGUGUGCGUCUACGGUGAAAUGCAGAUGGUCUGGCACACAUAAGCCCUUAGUUAGGAUUCUGUUUAAGUGUUAAAAUCAAUUCCAGGCAAAUAACGUGGAAACCUUUGUGUAAGCACUUUUUACACUCUUAAUUCUCCCUUGUUAAAUUAGCUUCGGUGUUGGAAUGAUGGGACAGCAGAUGAAGUAGAAACCUAUGCAUGCUGAUACCGAAGUGUCGAAAGUUUUGCAACUUCUGUAGUUGAAAAUUUACCGUAGUCUCUUU
Carassius gibelio (silver crucian carp) is the source of this 889-nucleotide long non-coding RNA. RefSeq lists it as uncharacterized. The record is from RefSeq and is a predicted model, not a curated record. The transcript is spliced from 3 exons. Lineage: Eukaryota; Metazoa; Chordata; Actinopteri; Cypriniformes; Cyprinidae.